ACAGAUGAAAUGCAAAGAGAAAAUUUAUUUUUGUUACCUCACCAACCAGGGGAUCCCCAAAGCAGCACCUGGGCAGAGGCACACAAGCGCGAACACAGCCACCACAGAGCUUGGUCCUUGCUUGAGGAUCUCCGAACCUGCUGUUUUCACCUGCUUUUCAAGGAUUUGUGCAGGUGUAUUUUACCACUGUGCUUUGAUCUUUCCCACAGCACUUUGAUCUUUCCCACAGCAGGGCAGGAAUCUCAAGCAUGUUUGACAGGGUGCCUCUGAGUCUAUGACAGGCCUGUGUUAUCUAAACACAGAUGUUCUACUUGUCAAGCACACAAGACUAAACAACGAUUAAUAUGAUAUAUGUGUUUUUCUACACCCCAGCUGCAAGUCACUUGAGCGUGUUUACAAUCCUCCUCGCCAAUCUUCCAUUAUUUUCCCACAGUCUCCAUGUCAUUAAUAC
Long non-coding RNA from Aquila chrysaetos chrysaetos, 451 nucleotides. RefSeq lists it as uncharacterized. NCBI's taxonomy places the organism in Eukaryota, Metazoa, Chordata, Aves, Accipitriformes, Accipitridae. The transcript has 3 exons. The record is from RefSeq and is a predicted model, not a curated record.